GAUGAACGCUGGCGGCGUGCCUAAUACAUGCAAGUCGAGCGAACGGACGAGAAGCUUGCUUCUCUGAUGUUAGCGGCGGACGGGUGAGUAACACGUGGAUAACCUACCUAUAAGACUGGGAUAACUUCGGGAAACCGGAGCUAAUACCGGAUAAUAUUUUGAACAGCAUGGUUCAAAAGUGAAAGACGGUCUUGCUGUCACUUAUAGAUGGAUCCGCGCUGCAUUAGCUAGUUGGUAAGGUAACGGCUUACCAAGGCAACGAUGCAUAGCCGACCUGAGAGGGUGAUGGGCCACACUGGAACUGAAGCACAGUCCCUACUCCUACGGGAGGCAGCAGUAGGGAAUCUUCCACAAUGGGCGAAAGCCUGACGGAGCAACGCCGCGUGAGUGAUGAAGGUCUUCGGAUCGUAAAACUCUGUUAUUAGGGAAGAACAUAUGUGUAAGUAACUGUGCACAUCUUGACGGUACCUAAUCAGAAAGCCACGGCUAACUACGUG
RNAcentral lists this ribosomal RNA (497 nucleotides) under uncultured bacterium. Its description in RNAcentral is "partial 16S ribosomal RNA". It matches the Rfam family "Bacterial small subunit ribosomal RNA", at positions 28 to 507 of the family's 1533-position model. The record is from RNAcentral.